Long non-coding RNA from Lotus japonicus, 1354 nucleotides. RefSeq lists it as uncharacterized. NCBI's taxonomy places the organism in Eukaryota, Viridiplantae, Streptophyta, Magnoliopsida, Fabales, Fabaceae. The transcript is spliced from 5 exons. The record is from RefSeq and is a predicted model, not a curated record.
CGUAUUUGGAAUUUCAUGAUGACUCCGUUAGAAUCUUUUUUUUCUUCGAUGGACGUGGGAAAAUCUUCGAUCCUCCCUAGCCUUAGAUCUUUUGCAAGUUAUCACUUAUAAUCCCUUUUGGAAAGACUCUAUCGAGUUCACUUCAAAAUAAAUUUAUUCUAAUGAUUUUCAUGCUUUGAAUUUUAUAUAUUCAUUUUCCAUGGCUCGUAAGAAGUAGACUCCUCCAUUGAUCCUGACCAACUCGUGGGCUUUUAAUUGGGUUGAAAAGGAGAUGUCCGAGCAACUUGUUGUUGAUAUGAUACUAUUGUGGAUGUCGGCAAUCUUCUUGUAAUCAAGGAUAAAGUCAUUCACAGUUUGUACCUUUGCAUUAUUUCGAACAAAUGUGCUCACGUCUAAACACUUCUUCAUGUAAUUAUUAAGGUAGGUGCGUACCGACACUCUCAAGUUUGCCCUAAUCCCCACUUCUUCAUGUCCGUGUUUGGAUUCUAUUAAGUUUUUUCAAAAACUUGUUUAAAGCGGGAUCUUUCCAUCAAAGUGAGAGUUGGGAAUACACCAAGUUUUAAGGUGUUCUAACAACAUUUUCUAAAGAGUUCUCCUUUCAAUACUUCUCACAUUAGUUGAAAUUAUAUGAUUGAAACUAAAUUGGAGGUGAAACUCCUAAUUUUAAAAGAGAGUGUUGAUAUGAGUUUUGCCUGCAUUUUUGGAACACUUUACCUCUUUCAUUCGCGCGUUCAGACGUUCCUUGACCCGCAUUCUCACUUUCAUGCUCGUGCUUCCGACGGUUCUCGCUCGCACUCUCUUCGCGCUCGUUCUAGGGUCCUCACUCUCCAAUCUGAACCCUUCUUCUUCCUCUCCCAAGUCGACGAAGCUCAUUGUAGGUCUUCGUUCAAGCUCGUUGCAGCUCGAAGUCCUGAUGUCGGAGUAUCAAACCAGUCCAGAUUAACCCAAGUUUGCCAGUUGCCAGGAACAAGUUGCAGAAAAUAGGGCCCAUGACAACCAAUGAGAAGGAGUUGAUUGAUUUAGGGGCUGUAGCGCUUAUGGUUCAGGGAUUUUACCUCUAGUGUGCAAUCCAGCAUAUUUAACAUGCUAUAAUUUAUGAAGAAACAGAUAAGAAUACACUCACACAAGUUUGAGCAAUUCUGUAUUAAUAUCACGAGUGAAAAGCUGCAGCAGCACUUCAACCAGUUAUGAGAGUACGCUCUGCUAUGUACAACAACAGUGGAACGGAGAUAUACAUCCAUGUCUGAAAUUAGAAGGGGGGAAAUUUCUUCAACUUUAUCAAGGUGGUGUACUUUAGGCAACAUUCACUUUUCUCAUGCUUAUGUAGAUUGUAGUUAAAAUUCUUACUGUUUUA